AUGUAGCAAUACAUGGCGUACUGCUCAGUAACACGUGGACAACCUGCCCUUAGGUUGGGUAUAAACCCGGGAAACUGGGUAUAAUCCCCUAUAAGUCUCGGCUGCUGGAAUGCACCGAGAUUAAAAGCUCCGGCGCCUAAGGAUGGGUCUGCGGCCUAUCAGGUAGUAGUGGGUGUAGCGUACCUACUAGCCUACGACGGGUACGGGUUGUGAGAGCAAGAGCCCGGAGAUGGAUUCUGAGACACGAAUCCAGGCCCUACGGGGUGCAGCAGGCGCGAAAACUUUACAAUGCUGGCAACAGCGAUAAGGGAGCCUCGAGUGCCAGGUUACAAAUCUGGCUGUCGAGAUGCCUAAAAAGCAUUUCAUAGCAAGGGCCGGGCAAGACCGGUGCCAGCCGCC
RNAcentral lists this ribosomal RNA (399 nucleotides) under uncultured archaeon. Its description in RNAcentral is "bacterial SSU rRNA". It matches the Rfam family "Archaeal small subunit ribosomal RNA", at positions 62 to 466 of the family's 1478-position model. The record is from RNAcentral.